AUUGAACGCUGGCGGCAGGCCUAACACAUGCAAGUCGAGCGAGCGGCGGACGGGUGAGUAAUGUAUGGGGACCUGCCCGAUAGAGGGGGAUGACUACUGGAAAAGGUGGCUAAUACCGCAUACUAUCGGUUGAACCCAUCUGGGAUUAGCUAGUAGGGGGGGUAAAGGCUCACCUAGGCGACGAUCUCUAGCUGGUCUGAGAGGAUGAUCAGCCACACUGGGACUGAGACACGGCCCAGACUCCGACGGGAGGCAGCAGUGGGGAAUAUUGCACAAUGGGCGCAAGCCUGAUGCAGCCAUGCCGCGUGUAUGAAGAAGGCUUUAGGGUUGUAAAGCACUUUCGGCGGGGAAGCGUUACCCGCAGAGGAAGCACCGGCUAACUCCGUGCCAGCCGCCGCGGUAAUUC
Molecule: ribosomal RNA, 406 nt
Filed under: uncultured bacterium
Lineage: Bacteria
Description: partial 16S ribosomal RNA
Rfam family: Bacterial small subunit ribosomal RNA
Source: RNAcentral